Molecule: ribosomal RNA, 253 nt
Filed under: uncultured bacterium
Lineage: Bacteria
Description: partial 16S ribosomal RNA
Rfam family: Bacterial small subunit ribosomal RNA
Source: RNAcentral
UACAGAGGUCUCAAGCGUUGUUCGGAUUCAUUGGGCGUAAAGGGUGCGUAGGCGGCUUGUCACGUCGGGUGUGAAAGCCCGGGGCUUAACCCCGGGUCUGCAUUCGAUACGGGCUAGCUAGAGUGUGGUAGGGGAGAUCGGAAUUCCUGGUGUAGCGGUGAAAUGCGCAGAUAUCAGGAGGAACACCGGUGGCGAAGGCGGAUCUCUGGGCCAUUACUGACACUGAUGCGCGACAGCGUGGGGAGCAAACAGG